CGCAAUGUCUCGGUCGUGGGUUCGUUAUGCCAGUUGUUCAAGCCGUUCUGUACAUUUAUACUGGAUAUUAACUGGAGUCAUUUAGCUGUGCUGAUGCUGUUUGCCGUGUGUUUUGCAUCAGUGCUUCGUGACAUCGGCUGUAUUGCGUGUUUUCGCCGACGGCUUACUACCACAAUGGCGGGAUCUGCGUUCGCCGCCUUCGUGUCUCGGUGCGUCUUUGUACGUCGCACGUUCGGAUAACACUUUUUCCGACGGCUGGACAUCCUUCUUGUACCUUGGCGCUAGCUGGAUGACGGGACCUCAUCAUGAUCAGUGUAUUGCUUUCCUAUGUCUACAAGAACCGUCAUGGGUGGCCUGUGACAGCAAGCUUUUGUGGGCAGCCAGUGCUCUCCUACGAAGGCUGACCUACUCUGGCAGCGGCGGCAAUCAUCUUCAAGAUUUAUCGAUGAUCACCUUUGCUGCUAUUUGUCACUCUUCUUAAUUACACUUUCUGCAUCUUUUCUAAUCUAUUAGGUAAUAAAGUAUGAGUAUGUGA
Dermacentor albipictus is the source of this 535-nucleotide long non-coding RNA. RefSeq lists it as uncharacterized. The record is from RefSeq and is a predicted model, not a curated record. Lineage: Eukaryota; Metazoa; Arthropoda; Arachnida; Ixodida; Ixodidae.